UUUUAGCUAGUUUGUAUAAUUGGUGUAAUAUCUAUAGUUCAAAAUUUGAUAUUUUUUGAAUUAUUAGGUGUGCUAAGUUUAUACAAAAUUUUGUAAUAAUCCAAGGAUCUAGUUUAGAGAUAUCUAGUUUUUUGUACAAAAAGAUUUUGGAAGUUGGUAGUUUGAGGUUGGGUAGGAUUUCUAUGAUAUCUAGAGAUCUACUAGUUGAAUCAAAGUGAAAUUUGGCAUGGUAUUGAAGGACUUAAAGGUCAAGGUGCAUACCAAUUUUGAGUUGAAGCAAAUAGUUGGAGAAGGAGAAAUUACUACUUGAACUUUUUGCUUCACCUCUCAAGUUGUCAGCUAAGUGACAUCAAUAUAGUUUUUUGGAAGUUCUUUCACAAUCUAAAAGUUGGAUUGGGCUGAAAUUUCUUAAGCAUGAAGAAGACUUACAUAGACAAUUUUAUGCAAAAUUUCACAUCAAGUGAAUAGUCAAAUUAGAAGUUACAACUUAUCAAAAUUCACUAAUUAGAGUUAGGAUGUAGAAGAAAAAUCUAAAUUGCUUAAAUAUGAAAGUAAUUAGGUAAUAGAGAUUUACAUAUGAUUAAGGCUACUAAGAAGAGUGUUUUUUAGCACUUUUGAAUUGAAAUUCAGAUUAUAUUCUUCUCAUGUGGGUGAAACCUAUUAGGAUUUCUUGGAUACUU
Molecule: long non-coding RNA, 680 nt
Filed under: Physcomitrium patens
Lineage: Eukaryota; Viridiplantae; Streptophyta; Bryopsida; Funariales; Funariaceae
Description: long non-coding RNA (PPAT_LNC003826)
Source: RNAcentral